CAGCGGCGGACGGGUGAGUAAUGCCUAGGAAUCUGCCUGGUAGUGGGGGACAACGUUUCGAAAGGAACGCUAAUACCGCAUACGUCCUACGGGAGAAAGCAGGGGACCUUCGGGCCUUGCGCUAUCAGAUGAGCCUAGGUCGGAUUAGCUAGUUGGUGGGGUAAUGGCUCACCAAGGCGACGAUCCGUAACUGGUCUGAGAGGAUGAUCAGUCACACUGGAACUGAGACACGGUCCAGACUCCUACGGGAGGCAGCAGUGGGGAAUAUUGGACAAUGGGCGAAAGCCUGAUCCAGCCAUGCCGCGUGUGUGAAGAAGGUCUUCGGAUUGUAAAGCACUUUAAGUUGGGAGGAAGGGCAGUAAGCUAAUACCUUGCUGUUUUGACGUUACCGACAGAAUAAGCACCGGCUAACUCUGUGCCAGCAGCCGCGGUAAUACAGAGGGUGCAAGCGUUAAUCGGAAUUACUGGGCGUAAAGCGCGCGUAGGUGGUUUGUUAAGUUGGAUGUGAAAGCCCCGGGCUCAACCUGGAACUGCAUCCAAAACUGGGCAAGCUAGAGUACGGUAGAGGGUGGUGGGAAUUUCCUGUGUAGCGGUGAAAUGCGUAGAUAUAGGAAGGAACACCAGUGG
This 627-nucleotide ribosomal RNA is filed under the name Pseudomonas putida. RNAcentral's name for it is "bacterial SSU rRNA". It matches the Rfam family "Bacterial small subunit ribosomal RNA", at positions 93 to 715 of the family's 1533-position model. The record is from RNAcentral. Lineage: Bacteria; Pseudomonadati; Pseudomonadota; Gammaproteobacteria; Pseudomonadales; Pseudomonadaceae.